UACGUAGGGGGCUAGCGUUGUCCGGAAUCAUUGGGCGUAAAGAGCGUGUAGGCGGCCCGGUAAGUCCGCUGUGAAAGUCGGGGGCUCAACCCUCGGAUGCCGGUGGAUACUGUCGGGCUCGAGUACGGAAGAGGCGAGUGGAAUUCCUGGUGUAGCGGUGAAAUGCGCAGAUAUCAGGAGGAACACCUAUUGCGAAGGCAGCUCGCUGGGACGUUACUGACGCUGAUGCGCGAAAGCUAGGGGAGCAAACAGG
Molecule: ribosomal RNA, 253 nt
Filed under: uncultured bacterium
Lineage: Bacteria
Description: partial 16S ribosomal RNA
Rfam family: Bacterial small subunit ribosomal RNA
Source: RNAcentral